GAUGAAGAACGCAGCGAAAUGCGAUAAGUAAUGUGAAUUGCAGAAUUCAGUGAAUCAUCGAAUCUUUGAACGCACCUUGCACCCUUUGGCAUUCUGAAGGGUAUGCUCGUUUGAGUGUCAUUGUACUCUCACACUCCCGAUCUUUGCAUUGGGAGCAGUGGACUUGGGUUUGCUGCUUCACCGUCGCUUACCUCAAAUAGGUUAGUGCAACUCUUGGUUGGACAUAGUACGGCGUGAUAAGUGUUCUUCGCCGGUGCCUCGCAAAGAGGGUGGCCGAUCGGGAUGUUGUGCUCCAAACCGUCUUCGGACAAUCUCUGACGACUUGACCUCAGAUCGAGUAAGACUACCCGCUGAACUUAAGCAUAUCAAUAAGCGGAGGA
This 380-nucleotide unclassified non-coding RNA is filed under the name soil metagenome. RNAcentral's name for it is "partial contains 5.8S ribosomal RNA, internal transcribed spacer 2, and large subunit ribosomal RNA". The stretch from base 1 to 120 matches the Rfam family "5.8S ribosomal RNA", at positions 35 to 154 of the family's 154-position model. The record is from RNAcentral.